ACCCUCACACCCACACCACCCUCACACCCACACCACCUUCGCUGUCCGCUGUCCACAGCCCAGCCGUCCCAACCCUCACGGCAUCCGCGCCAGGUCACGCACCCAGAGCCCUUGUGCUUUGCCUCACGCUGCUGAAUCAACCCGGCCACAUGUCGGCUCGUGUGGUUGGAGUCUAAGCUUUGGGCAACCUCCCAUGAUGUCACUGAGGACCUGGGAGCUUCCAUGCCUCUACUCAAAGGUCCACAGAGUUGGCUUGUCCUGACAGGGGUUCCUGUUGUGGUUCUCAGGUGCCCUCUCUGUGUCUCCUCUCACGUCUCCCUGGCUCAUUCCGGAACAAUCACCACGAGAGGGAUGGGGUCACCGUUAAUGAAACAGACUCACCCUGGAGCUGGGAGAGCCAUCAGCGUCCACGAGGACACUGAUCUGUGUGGGAGGAAGGAGGCAGGAGGAUUGGACGCCGGGCGGCCACCAACAAUGCCACCAACAGUGCCACCAACAAUGCCACCAACAGUGCCACCAACAAUGCCACCAACAGUGCCACCAACAGUGCCACCAACAAUGCCACCAACAGCGUUAUCAGACCCCUGGCUUCCUGCAGGGACGUGGUCCCAACGUGCACUGCGGCCCAAGGACACUGUCAGCCGGCUCCCUUACUGGACUCUGAGACGCCCGGGAAAACCCAAAAGAACGUGUUCGAUGCCUACAAGGAAACAACGACUGCCUGAGGGACACGACGGGCACAGAUUAAAUGGAGAGUGAGCAUGAAAGGGAGAAACCACGGCAAAGAUUUGAUCAUCCCCAGAUUAAUCAGCAUAAAAGCGUGUGGUGCGUUGACACACGUUGCACCGUCAAGCAGUUGGGACAGAGCGGGCUCGCGUUUGACCAGACUUCACUGAGAACUGAACCCGGCUCACAGGCGUCCACCCCGGGGGCGUGAGGGAACUGACCGCACACUCGCCUCGGGCUUCACGCAGAAUGAAGCUGGCGUCUCCCCCCACCGCUCAUGUGCCUUCUGUGUUGUGACCCGUAGCUGACACAGGGUGAGGGGUCAGUGCCAGGAGACGAAACUGGUGCUGGAGAAAACCAAUGAGCCCGGCAAAUACACGGCCGACGAGGGCAGGCGCGUGGUGCACAUCUCGCCGUCGAACGUGAUGGACCACUACGUUCUUUACUGUGAAGGCGAGCUCCGGGGGAAGCAGAUCCGGAUGGCGAAGCUCGUGGGAAGAGACGCGGAGAACAACCAGGGGGCCCUGGAGGAUUUUAAGACGUUCGCGAGAGACAAAGGGUUCGACCCGGAGAAGAUCUUCACGCUCACGCCCCAUGAAACCUGCUCUCCAGGAAGCGAUUAGGGACGAGGGGGCACCGGGGCUCCACAGCAGCCCUGAGGCGGCAGCACCAGGACCCUCCAUCCUGAAGGACACAGACAGAGUCCCUGACCAGGAGCCUGGGUCACCUCCUGCCACCCUUCCUGCACCUCCACCCCCUCCUCCCCCGCCCUGCAUCCCCCUCCUGGUUCCGCAUAAAGAGCUUCAG
RNAcentral lists this long non-coding RNA (1533 nucleotides) under Equus caballus (horse). Its description in RNAcentral is "lncRNA (ENSECAG00000029752.3)". The record is from RNAcentral. Lineage: Eukaryota; Metazoa; Chordata; Mammalia; Perissodactyla; Equidae.